UUAAAUUUUGAAGCGCCUGAACUGCCAUGGACGUUAAAGUGGCAGUUGACGAGGAGGGGGACAUUCGAGUCAUUCGGCGGGUACCCCCCGGCUUGACCGGAAGUCGAAGUUCGCGGACAAACCGGUAAGGCGACUUACCGAACAAAACCGCCAACAUCCGGCAAC
Molecule: non-coding RNA, 165 nt
Filed under: Novibacillus thermophilus
Lineage: Bacteria; Bacillati; Bacillota; Bacilli; Caryophanales; Thermoactinomycetaceae
Description: GlcN6P sequence
Rfam family: glmS glucosamine-6-phosphate activated ribozyme aptamer
About the family: This entry contains a glucosamine-6-phosphate activated ribozyme that is found in the mRNA for GlmS. GlmS is an enzyme that uses fructose-6-phosphate and glutamine to generate glucosamine-6-phosphate.
Source: Rfam by way of RNAcentral